GGGGGAAGCGCAUAUUGGUGUGUCCUUGUUUCUGCUCUUAAUCUACUGUACUUUAUGGGACAGUUUUUGGCAGCCUUGGCGAUUAAUUAACCGUGACAUUUAAAAUCACGAUUAAUCGUAACACCAUGACAUCAUUACAACCCUACAUGGAGUAGCCGUGUCCCAAAAAAUUA
Sphaeramia orbicularis (orbiculate cardinalfish) is the source of this 173-nucleotide long non-coding RNA. RefSeq lists it as uncharacterized. Lineage: Eukaryota; Metazoa; Chordata; Actinopteri; Kurtiformes; Apogonidae. The record is from RefSeq and is a predicted model, not a curated record. The transcript is spliced from 4 exons.